This 468-nucleotide ribosomal RNA is filed under the name uncultured bacterium. Its description in RNAcentral is "partial 16S ribosomal RNA". It matches the Rfam family "Bacterial small subunit ribosomal RNA", at positions 28 to 507 of the family's 1533-position model. The record is from RNAcentral.
GACGAACGCUGGCGGCGUGCCUAACACAUGCAAGUCGAACGGUGAUGCUCCAGCUUGCUGGAGUGGAUCAGUGGCGAACGGGUGAGUAACACGUGAGCAACCUGCCCCAGACUCUGGAAUAAGCGCUGGAAACGGCGUCUAAUACUGGAUACGAAACUGGCCCGCAUGGGCAUGGUUUGGAAAGUUUUUCGGUUUGGGAUGGGCUCGCGGCCUAUCAGCUUGUUGGUGAGGUAAUGGCUCACCAAGGCGACGACGGGUAGCCGGCCUGAGAGGGCGACCGGCCACACUGGGACUGAGACACGGCCCAGACUCCUACGGGAGGCAGCAGUGGGGAAUAUUGCACAAUGGGCGAAAGCCUGAUGCAGCGACGCCGCGUGAGGGAUGACGGCCUUCGGGUUGUAAACCUCUUUCAGCAGGGAAGAAGCGAAAGUGACGGUACCUGCAGAAGAAGCACCGGCUAACUACGUG